This 497-nucleotide ribosomal RNA is filed under the name uncultured bacterium. RNAcentral's name for it is "partial 16S ribosomal RNA". It matches the Rfam family "Bacterial small subunit ribosomal RNA", at positions 28 to 507 of the family's 1533-position model. The record is from RNAcentral.
GGUGAACGCUGGCGGCGUGCCUAAUACAUGCAAGUCGAGCGAACAGACGAGGAGCUUGCUCCUUUGACGCUAGCGGCGGACGGGUGAGUAACACGUGGGUAACCUACCUAUAAGACUGGGAUAACUUCGGGAAACCGGAGCUAAUACCGGAUAAUAUUUCGAACCGCAUGGUUCGAUAGUGAAAGAUGGCUUUGCUAUCACUUAUAGAUGGACCUGCGCCGUAUUAGCUAGUUGGUAAGGUAACGGCUUACAAAGGCAACGAUACGUAGCCGACCUGAGAGGGUGAUCGGCCACACUGGAACUGAGACACGGUCCAGACUCCUACGGGAGGCAGCAGUAGGGAAUCUUCCGCAAUGGGCGAAAGCCUGACGGAGCAACGCCGCGUGAGUGAUGAAGGUCUUCGGAUCGUAAAACUCUGUUAUUAGGGAAGAACAAACGUGUAAGUAACUGUGCACGUCUUGACGGUACCUAAUAAGAAAGCCACGGCUAACUACGUG